This is a long non-coding RNA of Oryzias melastigma (Indian medaka), 3166 nucleotides long. RefSeq lists it as uncharacterized. The record is from RefSeq and is a predicted model, not a curated record. Lineage: Eukaryota; Metazoa; Chordata; Actinopteri; Beloniformes; Adrianichthyidae. The transcript has 3 exons.
GGCUCUGUGCUGCUGGCUGUCCCUGGAAGCCCGUCGACUGCUCCCACGAGGUCGGCCGUGUCGGUCAACACCCGCAAAGCGGUUUGUUUUUUCACGCUGGGGAGGGAAGCCCAGCUUAGAGUUGAAAUGCGAACGCAGGCCGGCUCGGCUUCAGCAGAUUAACACCUGCUGGGUUGGAUAGAAGUCACUUUCAUCCAGUGAUUUGACAAGUUGUCAGCUCCUGUAACUUCUACCCCCUCUUAGCUUUGCUUAAAUCUGCUUUGCUGCAGAAUCGCAGCUGCGCGGAGCUUCAGGUCAGCUGGCGUUCAGCUGCUGGGAGUUUACAACCAGAGUUUUCUCACCUGAACAAUGAGGAGUUCUAUUGUAGUAUUUAGAAACAAAACAUGAUCUAGUCCAGGGGUGUCGAAACUUUUUCAAAGAGGGCCAGAUUUGGUGAAAUAAAAAUGAUUGAGGACCAACAUUUUUUGACAGUUUUUGAGCUAUUUUACUAAUUAUAAAUGCAAAUUAACUAUUUAAUGAACAUUUUAUCGCAAAGGCAAACUUUUCAUGUCUUAUCAUAAAGAAAAAAAAAAGUUUUUACAAAAAUACUGUAUAUUUUUCACACUGUUCAUUCCAAGUUAGCAAGUACUGUCUGCCUCUUGAUAUUGAACUUCUUGAAAAGUCUCCAGGCAUAUAUGACAGUUUUUUGAUAUUUCACUGAAAGAUGUGACAACUUUUCUUUUUUAAUUUACAUUUGGCUUUUUGGAAAUGAGCUGGAAAGCAUCACAGAAUAUUCGCAAGACAGUGCGAAAAGGAAUUUCUCCAGCAGCAAUCAUGAAUCUGCAGAUAAAUUUUUUAGAAAUGCUGGAGAACAUAUAUUAUUAAGUUUAUGAACGGAGCCCCGGAACUGACAUGCAUGAUCUAGUUAAUAUGUGGACAAAAUGUUACAAACUCUCGAAUUCGACUCUAAAUUAACACAUUUUUUUUGUCAAAUUAGGAAAAUCUUAAUAUCUUACUGACUAUUGACAACACUUUAUUUUAAAUUAUUAAAAAUAAUUUUUAGUUUUUUCAAAUUUUUUCAUACUGACAUUACUUGUGGAUCUGGGAUUUGUAAGAAUUAUAAAUGUGCUCUAUUUACUAUUUUAUCUCUGCUUUUAAUAAAUGUUUAACAAAUUUAAUGUUUUUUUUAUUUUAAUGUGCAACAUUUUUUUUGUCGUUUUAUUUUGAAAAACCGGAAAUGCGCGUGGUUUCCGCUAGUGCCAUCCCGUUAAUAUCAUUCUCCUCUCGGUGCGCAUUAAGCUGCUGAGGAUUCUGAAGGAAGAACUCCACCUGAUGUCCCGAGUUUCCCUAUGUACGGAUCCACGUCGGUUACUCCUGACCAGGUCCAAAGAGGUUGAGCAAGCAAAUAAGGAGAAACAGUAGGUGAAUUGCAUCAUGGGAUGGCACAUCAUGUGGAGAUACCCAGAGUGCUCCAGCAGAUGAAGGUCAGUGUGGAUAAAGUGUCUCCCCUGCCCUUCACUGUUUGCACACACCUGAGGGGCGCUGGCGUCAAGCUUCAACACACAGCGGCGGAUUUAGGACUCUAAAGUGCGCACACGUGUCACUGUGGGGGGGUGGCGGGGAAAUUGCUUAGACCCUGGCAGAUGAAUCCAGCCGGAAAACACCGGAAGAGGCGUCACAAACAUGAACAGUGGUCCGGAGUGUGGAGGUUUUGUCCAAGUUUUUGUUGUUUCCUGGAAGUCAUGCCUCCUUUGACCAGAAGAGUAUCUGAAUGAAACUUCAGAUCAUCUUCUGAACAUCAGCAACAGGUAAGGGGUGGUUCAGGUGACAAAAACCAUCCUGAAGUGUUACGAUAAAGUAUUUUACCAUAACUAUUUUAGCUUGUAUAAAGUGCAACAGCUGCCUGAAAUAUUCAGAAUAAAAGUCUGAGACUGGACGUGACUGAGGGAAAGAUGAGGGUGGGAUUCGAUCGAAAGAGUCUGCAGCCUCGUCUCCUGAUGUUCUUCAGGUCUGCCGUGGCUGCAGAAUGGUUCCGUUUAAUUUCACGCUACGAUGGUGUGAGUUUGCUGCACUCAGAGUUUGGCUGAAGGCGAACAGAUGAUGAAGAAAACUGCUGCUCCGCCUCCAAACGGUGCCUCUGCUCUUCUGUUAAGCUUGUGCUGCUGGAGCGUCAGUCUCCUCUCAGGUCUCAGCGACUCGUCUUCAGAAAGCACAGACAGCAGCCUGACAGGCAUCUGCUGAGCUGAAUGGAGGAAUCCGCAGCAGCAGAGUGUCCUCCGGUUAUUCCUGUCUUCUUAUAAAAGCAACAAUUCAACGUUUUGUGGAGCUUAACAACGUUUAGAGUCAGUCACUUCUGUCAAAUGAGCUGAGCGUGGUUCAGGUGGAAGUCAGGAAAAGCAGAAAUGUGGUUUCUGCAGAUGUGAGGGAACACAAACAGGAAGUCUAACAGGCAGUGAGAGCUGAGGGUGCCGAUACCCCUCCAGCGCGCGCCCAGAGUCACUGCUCUGCUCCAACAUGGUUGCUGUGGGGGCAUGUUGGCACCGUUGAACUUGUUGAUAAAUUGAACCUGUAAUUUUUUUUCAUUUUUUGUUUCUACUCUAUCAUAAUGUUUUCUAUAUUUCUUGUCUGAAUUGUUACAGUUCCAUUCGAGCAGUCGGGGGUCCAUAAGUUGUGAUGUUUUUUUUUUUUUUUUACCUGAAGCUGCUUUGUUCUCAGACUCCAUUCUCACAAGAACUUUCAGGCUGUUUUUUACUCGGCUUUGGCUCAAAUGUUGGGAAUUAUAAACAUUUGGUGAAAAUGUAAGUCAACAAAAUGGCAGAUGUGGGUCAGCUUUGGGACUGGAAACACCUUCAGUCUGAUGCUUCUUAUGACCAGAGAUGGGAUAAAGCCCUUUAAAAUAACAGUUUUUAUCAGUAACAGAGGAAUUUUUCUCACACUAAACAAUAUUCUUUAAAAAAAAAACAUUAAAAGUUGACAUCUACACACGCUGGAACUGUGCAAUGUUUUAAAAACUCGCUGUAUUGUUUUCAUGUGAUGUUUUUUUAAGUAUAUAUAUUUGUUCUUGUUUUAGCAAUUUUAACAUGUAUCAAUUUUAUAUUCUUUUUUUAAUGACUAAAUGAUGCACUGACCAAAGAGCACUUUAUAAAUUCUGUAUUACCAGUGACAAUAAAAAGUGUCUAUCCAUUUA